Molecule: ribosomal RNA, 433 nt
Filed under: uncultured bacterium
Lineage: Bacteria
Description: partial 16S ribosomal RNA
Rfam family: Bacterial small subunit ribosomal RNA
Source: RNAcentral
AACGAACGCUGGCGGCAGGCCUAACACAUGCAAGUCGAGCGGACCCUUCGGGGUUAGCGGCGGACGGGUGAGUAACGCGUGGGAAUAUGCCCUUCUCUACGGAAUAGUCCUGGGAAACUGGGGGUAAUACCGUAUACGCCCUUUGGGGGAAAGAUUUAUCGGGGAAGGAUUAGCCCGCGUUGGAUUAGGUAGUUGGUGGGGUAAUGGCCUACCAAGCCGACGAUCCAUAGCUGGUUUGAGAGGAUGAUCAGCCACACUGGGACUGAGACACGGCCCAGACUCCUACGGGAGGCAGCAGUGGGGAAUCUUAGACAAUGGGGGCAACCCUGAUCGAGCCAUGCCGGGUGAGUGAUGAAGGCCUUAGGGUUGUAAAGCUCUUUCAGCUGGGAAGAUAAUGACGGUACCAGCAGAAGAAGCCCCGGCUAACUCCGUG